This 1603-nucleotide long non-coding RNA is filed under the name Portunus trituberculatus (swimming crab). RNAcentral's name for it is "uncharacterized LOC123499248". The record is from RNAcentral. Lineage: Eukaryota; Metazoa; Arthropoda; Malacostraca; Decapoda; Portunidae.
CAUGUAACAAUUUCUUACAAAAGUUUUGUUUAUAUUAAUUUUUAUACUGUUUAUUAAUAUAUUUUUUCCGGCCAUUCCAAAAAUGUAAUUAUUUUUUCUGUAUCAUCGACCGUUACAAAAAUACGGUCUGUUAGAAAAGUAACCGGCCUUAUUUCUUGGGAAAAUCUGACAUACCAUCCAGACAUACCAUCAUCUAGAGCACCUGUCCCACAUGAUGACUGCUUACCAGUACCACAGCCACCAGAAAAUGUAGAUGAUGGAAUGGAUAUUUCAUCUGAAGGGUCAGCAAGUAGCAACAACCAAGAAAUCGAAGAAGUUUUCGUACCAAGAAUGACUUUGGAGCCUCAUUUUCCAAAUCAGAGUGAACUAGAUGAUUUAAUUAGGGACUUAGGUCUUACUAAGUCAGGAGCUGAACUUCUUUCAUCAAGGUUGAAGGAAUGGAAUCUACUAGGACAAGACUGCAGGAUAACUGUGUACCGGAAACGACAUGAAGAAUUUGAAAUUUACUAUGACAUUAGUGAUGAUCUGUGUUAUUGUAAGGAUGUAACUGGUUUGUUUAAAUUUACUGCUCUUGGACUCAAUCAUGAUCCUACACAUUGGCGGCUGUUUAUUGAUAGCUCAACACGAAGUCUCAAAGCAGUAUUACUCCACAAUGGAAACAAAUAUCCAUCUUUGCCUCUUGCACACUCAGUACAAAAGAAAGAAAACUAUGAAAAUGUCAGACAGCUUCUUAAUAAAAUAAAUUAUGAUGAAUUCAAAUGGAAUGUUUGUGGGGAUUUCAAGAUGCUCGCAUUUUUGCUUGGUUUGCAAGGGGGAUACACAAAGUAUUCAUGUUUCCUUUGCUUAUGGGACAGCAGAGCUGAUGAUGAUCAUUAUAAGAAAGUUCAUUGGCCCCCACGAAUGGAACUACAGCCGGGAAUGUUAAAUGUUCACAGAGAGCCCCUAGUAGAUUCCAACAAAGUUUUAUUGCCCCCACAUUAAACUAGGAUUGAUUAAACAGUUUGUGAAAGCCUUGGAUUUUGGAGGAGAAGCUUUUCAGGAAAUUCGCCUUAUGUUUCCAAAACUAUCUGAGGCUAAGAUAAAGGGUGGUAUAUUCGUUGGACCCCAGGUAAACACAAUGUUGAAGUCGGAGAAACUGGAAAGAGCGAUGACAAAAAUUGAAAAAGAAGCCUGGUGUGCAUUUCGUGAUGUAGUCCAUGGAUUCCUAGGAAAUAACAAAGAUCCUAAUUACAAACAACUGGUAGCAAAACUUAUUGAGAACUUCAGGAAGCUUGGUUGUCGUAUGUCCUUGAAAAUUCAUUUUUUUGCAUUCUCACCUUGAUUUCUUCCCAGAAAAUUUGGGUGAUGUCAGUGAAGAGCAGGGUGAAAGAUUUCACCAGGACAUAGCAACUAUGGAAAGAAGAUAUCAAGGACGAUGGAAUACUGCUAUGAUGGGAGAUUAUAUAUGGUCUCUAAUGAGAGAAGAUGAAAAUAUGCACGCUAGAAAAUCUCGAUCGUCCAAGCACUUCUGAUCAUAAAAGAGGAGUUAUCAAAGUAUUUACAAUGCAGAGCUGUAUAAUGUCUUUUGUUCUAAUAUUGUACUGCCUAUAUAAUUUUCAAUAUA